UGUCAGAAUCUCUUAUGUGAUCUUGGACAAGGGACAAGGAUGGAGCUGGAGGCCAUUUUCCAUAGCAAACAACACAGGAACAGAAGACCAAAUACCGGAGGGUUCCAAGAUGACCAAAUAGGAACAGCUCCAGUCUACAGCUCCCAGUGUGAGCGACGCAGAAGACGGGUGAUUUCUGCAUUUCCAACUGAGCUUUGAAGAGAGUAGUGGUUCUCCCAGCACAGAGUUUGAGAUCUGAGAACGGACAGACUG
RNAcentral lists this long non-coding RNA (252 nucleotides) under Homo sapiens (human). RNAcentral describes it as "HSALNT0284561". Lineage: Eukaryota; Metazoa; Chordata; Mammalia; Primates; Hominidae. The record is from RNAcentral.